GGCAAGUGACUGGUUUGUGGGGCACCAAACUGAAGUGUAGAGUUACAGAAUGUGAACUCAACUGUAUUAUAUCACUUACCUUUUUUUUCUCAUUAAAAGGAAUUUUUCAAGGCAAGGUGCCUUCCUUAGUAAUAGGUUCCUUUUUCUAGCAGUUGCACUUGAAACUACCCAGGCUUGCAGUAAAGGAGUAAUGUCCAUUAAUUCCGACUCUUUGAGAAUUCAGUUGCCUACCCUGGUUUAUAUCUCCUCCAGUAUACAUUAAAUAGAAGGUGACAAGCACCCACAAGAUAUCUUGAGGGGGUUUUCCAAAGAAAUAUGGCAUAGUCCCUGACCCCUAAAAGUUGUACUUGUGUAAACUCCUUGGGGAGACAAGACAUAUAACAAGAACAUUUUAUGAAGGAACCCAGUCUGUCAGGUGCAAAGUACAGACUUAAGGCUACAAUCAGGGGACAGCAGUCACGAGGGUGCUAAAUCAGAGGAUUCUCAGACCUGGCUUUUGAACUUGGUUUUAAGAGACAAGGAUGUGGUCUAGAUGAGACACAGGGGGUGAUGUGGCCCCCUGUGUAGAACAGUGUCCUAUGUCCCAUAUUCCUAUUCAGAAAAAAUCAUCUCCUAUGUUUCUCACAUCUUUAGGUCUCGCUCUUUCUGACUCAACUCUAGCUAAUGAAAUCUCACCUGAGGCUUUGUGAGUGUUAAGUCUUCAAGUAGCACUUUAAGUAACAAAAGGAAUUCUGGGCAGCUAAGAUCAAUACAUUUUAGGAAUAAAGUUGGAGAGAAAAACACUAUAAUGUAUCAUGUUGUGUUUGGCUGUGAUUAAAACUUUUUAUGUCUUCAAGUCCUUUUUGAGCUACCCAGACUUGGAAAAUUUAAUAUGUAUAUCCCAUAGAUAUAAACUCUUAAAGGCCUUUAAAAAUUAUGACAAAAAAGAAUUCAAAUUAAUUUCAGUAUUUGGAUUUGGACUUCAAAUUCAACCUAAUUACAAUUUAGAAGAUAAAGAACUUUAUAGCUAGCAAGGCCUCGUAAUUAUCUUUUCCUUCUUCAUGCAUGAAAUAAAUGACUAUGCCUCAGCUACCUUAUCUGUAAAACUGAUACUAGAAUAGUUUGAAUUGUUGUCUGAGGGUAGAAUGACAUAUACCUUUAAGUUACUUAGCACAGUUGCUGGCACUAAAAAUAUUCAAUAAAUGACAUCCACACAUUAAAACCAAGGGCAAAGCAAGGGAUCUGAGAGCAGUGAGGAUGCUGGGCAGAAAGAUCAAGCACCAUGACACCAGUGGCCGCCAGAGCUAAAAGCAGAAUUUGGCAGUGAAAAGUGGGUCAACACUAUUAAUACGGCCAAGAUGAGAAGAGCAAGAACGUGAGAACAUUAAAGCAGCUUCAGCAGAGUUGCCAGGCUGCAGCCUCACUGGAGAGCAGACCAGUGCUGGGAGAGUCCAAACAGCAAGCCAAGCUGAGCCCCAGUGAGAAAAGACCAGAAGGAGCCAGUCUUAUGUGAGCACUUUGCCCCUCCUGCCCUGUUUUCUUAUUAUCAAAGAAUUCUCUAUAGUGUCCUUAAACCCAUUUUGAUUUUUCAAAAAAGUCAGGUAUAUGCUUAGAGCCAGGAGAAAAUUAUAAGCAGGUAUUGCCUCUUCCUGUAGCUGCAAGGAUUAUACCCUGGCUCUUCCCCAUAAUCUCAAGGAGACCAAACACGGUUCUCCCCAGCAGUGAGACUUCCAGAGUUCGCUGGGCACCAUUCUCUAGCACGGCUGGCACACCACAAACCUAAGCAGCUACUCCCAAGACCAGAAUACUGGGGAUUUGGGAUGGGAAUGCUAUAAAAUCAGGUCGUGAUGAUCGUUGUACAACUAUAAGUGUAAUAAAAUUCAUUGAGUAAUUAAAAAAAAAAAGACCAGGAGGAAUAACUUCCAUGAAAAGACAAACUCUCAUAGCAUCUGACCUGACAUAGUGACCUUGUAUUUUCAGUGCAGUGGAUGCGGGGUACUUGGUAUUUAUCUCAUAAUGUCCACUGGUGCAUUUCAAUUGAGGUAGCUAGAAAUGAUUCUGUACUUGUACCAAUUUGAAAUGAUAUGCUUAUUUUGGAAAGAUGUAUCUCCACUUACAGCAACAGCUUUUAACUACACAGAAUAUAUACUACUUUGGCAUUUCUUUCCAGGUCUGAAUGAUACUAAUUCAAGCCCAUCCAGCUGUCAAGAUUCUAAGAGGAGAACCUCAUGCUGAGGAAGAAUAUCUUAAACUUCAAAGGCUUGCACUGCCCCCAGGCAGUGUACCAGCCUGUUCAAAUGGGGAAAAGAGAUGAACAAGGAGCCUUGGUGGAGAGGCAGAGGACUCACUGAUGGCAAAUCCGGUAUCAACUGCAUCCAUCCCUGACAGACCAUCCUGUUGGAAGGCUGGAAGAGCAAUUGAUGCCACUUUGUUUCUGGUAAACUGAAUGUGGUGCCAAGGCCUGUUCUGCUCUUUGUAAAUAUCUAUACCCUAUGAGUAAGCAACUUUUUUCUGUAAAGGGCCAGGAGAUAUUUUAGGUUUAAUAGUGCAUGUGGUCUCUGCUACAACUACACACCACUUUAUCUGUGGCAGGAUCACAGUAAUAAACAACAUGUAAGUGCAUGUAUGUACCUGGGUUCCAAUAAAACUUUCAGGCCAUAGUCUGUCAUCCCCAAAACUAAAUCAAUAGCCCCAUGUGGGCGAGUUAGGAAGGUGUUAAAUGGUUUCUCUAACAUGUAACACCUCUAUUUCAUGGGCUAUCUAGACCUAUUCCAUGUAGAAAGACGCUUAUAAAUUUUAAUACAAUCCUGCUAUACAACUAUAUGGAUGAAUAUGAGAAAGGAACAAAAAAAAAUACUCAUUUGUAACUCCCUAAAAUUGAUCUAAUAAUGCUAAAAUAUAAAGUUUGUCAUGAGUUUCCU
This 2900-nucleotide long non-coding RNA is filed under the name Sus scrofa (pig). Its description in RNAcentral is "lncRNA (ENSSSCG00030048613.1)". The record is from RNAcentral. Lineage: Eukaryota; Metazoa; Chordata; Mammalia; Artiodactyla; Suidae.